GACGAACGCUGGCGGCGUGCCUGACACAUGCAAGUCGGACGGUUCUUGUACCUUCAAGCUUGCUUGUUGGUGCAAGGAUAGUGGCGGACGGGUGAGUAACGCGUGAACAUCUACCCAUUGGAGGGGGACAACCCGUCGAAAGGCGGGCUAAUACCGCGUAAGCCGCGAGGUGAGAGGCUGCCUAUUGGUGGCCGCCGAUGGAUGGGUUCGCGUCCUAUCAGCUGGUUGGUGGGGUAACGGCCUACCAAGGCGAAGACGGGUAGCCGGUCUGAGAGGAUGGCCGGCCACACUGGAACUGAGACACGGUCCAGACUCCUACGGGAGGCAGCAGUGGGGAAUAUUGGGCAAGUGGGGGAACCCUGACCCAGCGACGCCGCGUGAGGGAUGAAGGUUUUCGGAUCGUAAACCUCUGUUGUACGGGAAGAAGGACUUGACGGUACCGUACGAGGAAGCCCCGGACAAACUACGUG
RNAcentral lists this ribosomal RNA (470 nucleotides) under uncultured bacterium. Its description in RNAcentral is "bacterial SSU rRNA". It matches the Rfam family "Bacterial small subunit ribosomal RNA", at positions 28 to 507 of the family's 1533-position model. The record is from RNAcentral.